Molecule: ribosomal RNA, 450 nt
Filed under: uncultured bacterium
Lineage: Bacteria
Description: partial 16S ribosomal RNA
Rfam family: Bacterial small subunit ribosomal RNA
Source: RNAcentral
GUGGGGAAUAUUGGACAAUGGGCGAAAGCCUGAUCCAGCCAUGCCGCGUGUGUGAAGAAGGUCUUCGGAUUGUAAAGCACUUUAAGUUGGGAGGAAGGGCAGUAAGUUAAUACCUUGCUGUUUUGACGUUACCGACAGAAUAAGCACCGGCUAACUUCGCGCCAGCAGCCGCGGUAAUACGAAGGGUGCAAGCGUUAAUAGGAAUUACUGGGCGUAAAGCGCGCGUAGGUGGUUUUGUAAGUUGGAGGUGAAAACCCCGGGCUCAACCAGGGAACUGCCUCCAAAACUGCAUGACUAGAGUACUGUAGGGGGUAGUGGAAUUUCCUGUGGAGCGGUGAAAUGCGUAUAUAUAGGAAGGAACACCAGUGGCGAAGGCGACUACCUGGACUGAUACUGACACUGAGGUGCGAAAGCGUGGGGAGCAAACAGGAUUAGAUACCCUUGUAGUCC